This 1320-nucleotide ribosomal RNA is filed under the name Triticum aestivum (bread wheat). RNAcentral describes it as "partial small subunit ribosomal RNA". The record is from RNAcentral. Lineage: Eukaryota; Viridiplantae; Streptophyta; Magnoliopsida; Poales; Poaceae.
AUGAAGCAACAAGUCAAGGAGCUAGUACGGCAAUGCAUAAUCUGUCAACAAGCCAAAACCGAGCGAGUAUCUCCAGCAGGCCUGUUACAGCCGUUACCCAUCCCUCAACGGCCGUGGGCAGUGAUAUCCCUUGAUUUCAUCGAAGGGUUGCCGAAAUCCGGUGGAUACAAUGCAAUACUAGUGGUGGUGGACAAGUUCUCCAAGUAUGCCCACUUCCUUCCACUGACCCAUCCCUUCACUGCUCUGGAUAUUGCUAAAGUGUUUAUGCAAGAGAUUUUCAAGCUGCACGGAAUGCCAAUGGGUAUCAUAUCUGAUCGCGAUCGCAUCUUCACCGGGCAAGUUUGGCAAGAAUUGUUCCGUCUGUGCCAUACCGAGUUGAAGAUGAGUUCCUCAUAUCACCCUCAGACGGAUGGACAGACGGAGAGGGUAAACCAAUGCCUUGAGACAUAUCUCCACUGUUCGGUGCACUCAUGCCCCUCAAACUGGUCCAAGUGGCUGUCGCUCGCAGAAUAUUGGUACAACACAUGCUUUCACUCUUCGCUGGGGCGUACUCCUUUUGAGGUCAUAUACGAACACUUGCCUCGGGAAUUCGGCAUCGACCAAGUGGCAGAGAACACAGUUCCAGAUCUGGCAGCUUGGCUGAAAGAACGAGAAGUGUUGCGUGAGCUUCUUCAGCAACAACUUAAACAAGCUCAGGACCGCAUGAAAAAACAGGUUGAUCGUCACCGGACAGAGCGGACCUUCGAAGUUGGAGACUCUGUCCUUCUCAAGCUCCAACCGUUCAUUCAAACAUCGAUCGCCCGUCGACCAUUCCAGAAAUUGGCAUUUCGAUACUACGGACCAUACACUAUUCAGGCCAAAGUGGGUGCGGUGGCUUACCGUUUAAACCUGCCACCAACCAGCAAGAUUCACCAUGUGGUGCACGUAUCCCUGCUCAAGCGUGCAGUUGGGGCAGAAGUGCCUGUGAACGCUCAGUUACCUCCUCCUAACACUGUUUUGCAGGCUGAGCAUUCGCCAGGUGGGGUGCUUGAUAAGAAGCUGGUUCGGGUGGACGGCACCCUAGAAACACGGGUGCUGAUCAAAUGGAGUGACCUGCCAGCAGACCUCGCGACAUGGGAAGACCCCGUCAAGCUACAGCAGCAGUAUCUAGCAUCACCGCCUUGGGGGCAAGGCGGUCCUCAAGGAGGGGAGAAUGUCACGACUGACAAGAGGAGCCAUGACAGCGACGAGGUAGAAGGCCCAGCGGUCAGGCGAAUCAGCGAAUCCAAAGGAGAGAAAGCACCCACGACUGGGACCGGGCAGUCAGCGAGACGUGAGUGA